Molecule: long non-coding RNA, 1670 nt
Filed under: Medicago truncatula (barrel medic)
Lineage: Eukaryota; Viridiplantae; Streptophyta; Magnoliopsida; Fabales; Fabaceae
Description: lncRNA gene21546
Source: RNAcentral
UCACAUCACUCAUUUCUAUGUAAACAAUUAAGCAUUCAUCAUUUUCUCUCACAUCCACUUUUCAUCUCUCUCUCUCUCUCCAAUAUCUCUAUCUCCAAAGAAAUAACUCAACAAUUUCUUUGUGAUAAUCAAGGUAUUUGUAUCGUAUGCAAAGCCCAAUCUGCAGAAGUUAAGAUGGCAUUUUCAUGUGCAUCACCUCGUAGCAUAUGUGUUAUCUCUUUGUGGAUCUUCCAACAACUCUAUAGCUAACACAAACAACCAGAUCUGACCUGACUGGUUGAUCUUCAAGACAUCAACAGUCUCGUCUAUGUUCCACACCCAAUUGAUAUGAUGUAGAUAUAGAUCAUCAAGGGGUCGCAAUGCUGACAUGAAUUAUCAUAGAGAUCCGUUGGGACUCGUUAUGGUUACACUUUUUGUUUAUGAUCAUAUCAUACCAGACAUGGUUUUUGUGGUAGUCAGAUAAUGGUUAACAAUCAAUUGCUCUUGCUGGUGGUUAUGCUGAUAUUCAUGAUCAAAGUGAAUGGUUUAUCUAUACAAAAGGGUAUAUAACUAGUCAAGUAAUCAUGUGAUUUAUAUAGUUACCCAUUCUGAGUUCAUUGUUGAUGGGUAACGUUGUCAUCUUAUCUUAUCUUAUAUAACUAAUCUUGGUUAAUUAUUUUGCUUAGUUCCACUAUUAGUGUUAAGUAAUGCGAAUUGUGCAUUCCAGUUUUAGUCCACACUUUUAGUUCUCAAGUAUUAUAUUAUUCAGUUUUGAUCGCAUUAUUUUACAUAACUUACGAUUAUACAAAACAAAAUAGAAGACUAAAAUUUAAUAAUCACAAUAUUUCUUGAAGUAUGUAAUUUGUUUGUAUGAUUUUGUUUGAAGAACAAACCCAUCACUAAAGAAAAAAAUACCAAAAUGAUAAACCAAUUAAUUACAAAGUUUUUCAAUUAUGUCGAUGUCUUUGUAAUAGAGUGACUAUUAUUUAUCACCUUCUAAAUUACACUACUCCCAAGCGUCUAUCAAAACGCAAUUGAAUAUGAGUCGCACAAAAUAAUUACUUUUAGUUCUAUAAAAUCCUAUCUUUGAGGAAUGGUUUACGAUCAAAUUAUUGUGUUUUUAUGUGUUUGUGUAAUAGGUUGAUGAAUAAUCGUAAUUCAAGUAGACUAAAGAUAAGCAAUAUUUCUCUUUCUACUUUUAUUUUAUUGGCUUUUAUUGUUGUCUUUUUUAUUUGGUAGGCAACAAACUCAAUAAGGAUGGUAGGAACAACCUUAAAUUCUUGGAUAGAUGGGUUCCAAAAUACAACUAUUAUAUUGCUUUGUGAGGCACUAAUUCGACUAAAUAUCCCAUUAAUACUACUAGAUUCUAAAUUUUAAAAUUGACGGUUAUCCUCUUGAAAUCGAUUUGGCUAAUUUAAUUUUGUCGCGUUCUUAAACAUUUCACCAUAAAGAGAAUACAACACAAAUUCAUUAUAAGCCACCGGCUUAUGUAGGAGGAGGGAUGACACGUAAUGUUAGGAAUAAUUAUUGGACAAAAAUAUUAUGCAUAACAACUUUAUGACAUAAGGGUUUUCAAAUAAGAGGGACCAUGAUUUACAUACACACCCAAAAUGUUUCAAAGCAUUAAUAGAUAUAUUCGAUUAAAUGGAAAAGAAUUGUCCGUGAUGUAUAUAAUUACAAUUUUUUUUUUU